AGCAGCCGCGGUAAUUCCAGCUCCAAUAGCGUAUAUUAAAGUUGUUGCAGUUAAAAAGCUCGUAGUUGAAUUUCGGGAUUAGUAAGUUGGUCGUGCCUCUGGUAUGUACUGGCUUUACUGGUUCCUCCUUCUUGAAGAACUGUAAUGUCAUUAAUUUGGUGUUGCAGGGAAACAGGACUGUUACUUUGAAAAAAUUAGAGUGUUUAAAGCAGGCUAACGCUUGAAUACAUUAGCAUGGAAUAAUGAAAUAGGACGUUUGAUCCUAUUUUGUUGGUUUCUAGGAUUGACGUAAUGAUUAAUAGGGAUAGUUGGGGGCAUUAGUAUUCAAUUGUCAGAGGUGAAAUUCUUGGAUUUAUUGAAGACUAACUACUGCGAAAGCAUUUGCCAAGGAUGUUUUCAUUAAUCAAGAACGAAAGUUAGGGGAUCGAAGACGAUCAGAUACCGUCGUAGUCUUAACCAUAAACUAUGCCGACUAGGGAUCGGAUGAUGUUAAUUUUUUAAUGUACUCAUUCGGCGCCUU
RNAcentral lists this ribosomal RNA (520 nucleotides) under uncultured Glomeromycotina. RNAcentral describes it as "SSU rRNA". It matches the Rfam family "Eukaryotic small subunit ribosomal RNA", at positions 569 to 1089 of the family's 1831-position model. Lineage: Eukaryota; Fungi; Glomeromycota. The record is from RNAcentral.